CUUGCUUUGGUAAUAAAUACAGAUGAUUUCUCAGCGAGAAUUUCUGCAUACCACAUGAUUGUGCUCCUGAUAAAGAGGCCGUGCGUUCCAGGGCAGUCUACAUGGUGGUUUGGGGUGUUCUUUGAUGUCCCAAUCCCCUGGGUUAUGUUUCUGCAUUCUGAAGACCUGCUGUUGGAGCUGUCUGUACCAUUGCAGUGGUUUGGAUGAGAAUGGCCCCCCAUAGAGUCAUGUGUUUGAAGACUUGAUCUCCAGUUGGUGGACAAGUUUAGUAAGGAUUAACAGAUCCACCCCAUCCACAAACAGGACCAGGACAACUCACCACGCUGAUUCCAUCAUUGAGCAGGGCCUCCCCGAAGAUCAUCAUGUAAAGCUGUUCAUUCACACGUGCCUCCUCAAAAACAGCCAGCACAGCCACGGGGUCGACCGCUGAGAUGAGGCUGCCAAAUAGCAGAUUGUGUAGCAGGUUGAUGUCACCAAGG
Molecule: long non-coding RNA, 479 nt
Organism: Mus musculus (house mouse)
Lineage: Eukaryota; Metazoa; Chordata; Mammalia; Rodentia; Muridae
Product: predicted gene, 37435
Exons: 3
Source: RefSeq, a predicted model, not a curated record